UGGUGGAGUGAUUUGUCUGGUUAAUUCCGUUAACGAACGAGACCUUAACCUAUUAAUUAGUGACGUGAAUUGCGGUGGCAACACUGCGUUGAUUCAUGGUAAUCGCACUUCUUAGAGGGACUCUCGGCAUCUCUAGCCGAUGGAAGUUUGAGGCAAAACA
Molecule: ribosomal RNA, 160 nt
Filed under: uncultured eukaryote
Lineage: Eukaryota
Description: partial 18S ribosomal RNA
Rfam family: Eukaryotic small subunit ribosomal RNA
Source: RNAcentral